RNAcentral lists this ribosomal RNA (492 nucleotides) under uncultured bacterium. RNAcentral describes it as "partial 16S ribosomal RNA". It matches the Rfam family "Bacterial small subunit ribosomal RNA", at positions 29 to 507 of the family's 1533-position model. The record is from RNAcentral.
AGUGAACGCUGGCGGUAGGCCUAACACAUGCAAGUCGAACGGCAGCACAGUAAGAGCUUGCCCUUACGGGUGGCGAGUGGCGGACGGGUGAGGAAUACAUCGGAAUCUACUUUUUCGUGGGGGAUAACGUAGGGAAACUUACGCUAAUACCGCAUACGACCUACGGGUGAAAGCAGGGGAUCUUCGGACCUUGCGCGAUUGAAUGAGCCGAUGUCGCAUUAGCUAGUUGGCGAGGUAAAGGCCCACCAAGGCGACGAUCCGUAGCUGAUCUGAGAGGAUGAUCAGCCACACUGGAACUGAGACACGGUCCAGACUCCUACGGGAGGCAGCAGUGGGGAAUUUUGGACAAUGGGCGCAAGCCUGAUCCAGCCAUGCCGCGUGGGUGAAGAAGGCCUUCGGGUUGUAAAGCCCUUUUGUUGGGAAAGAAAAGCAGCGGGUUAAUACCCCGCUGUUCUGACGGUACCCAAAGAAUAAGCACCGGCUAACUUCGUG